UGGUGGGGGAUUUCACACGGAUUCCUGGAGGAAUUUCGGGAUCUUCGUUCGUAUCGUGGAUCCUGCGUUGAGUGAUCUAGUCGAAGAUCGGACGCAAAGUGGCGCGGUGCUUGAUCUCAGAUUUUCCCGAUCGAUUCUCCAUUUUUGAUCGUCCAGCGUGAUUUAUCCGAAACUUCCGUCCGAUCCGUGAAACGGAGACAAUAAAGGAGACUGAUUCAUCAAGAAUAAAAAAAAAAAUUAAACAGUACGAUCAAUAUUUUGGUGUCGUGAAACAUCUAUCGUGAAAAAUGCCACAGGCAGCCCACGAAACGAAAAACAUCUUAACCACGUACUUUAUACUCAUCCUCCUGCUGAUUUGCCUCUGGUUAUUGUACUCGGGAUUGUUUUAACUUUGAAAUUGACGUUUCUCGUCAUGGAAUGAAGUAAGAAAUAUACGAAGGGAAUUACACGUUCGACGACAAUUAUAUAUCCUCGAUUGAUCAACGAUUAUACUCAGGAUACUCAGGAUACAUUGGAUACACCGAUCCCUCUUUCAUCCAAUUAACGACUUUUUUUUCUCCGCAUUUUUCUCUAUCCGCAUAAAAUCUAUUUUAAAAUGAACGAGACAAGCGUAAUCCAUUUAAGCUCUUUCAAUGUUCUCCACGAGUAUUACAUUCGCUUAUCCCAUUCUCCCAAGAUUUUAUGUAUCUCACGAUAAUUGAACGUGAAAGAGAUAGUCUUACUUCUAAUAAAAGGAACAACCAAAAUAACGUAGUUUCAUAAAUAGGUGAAUGAUUGUGAAGCACGAUGAUAAAAGGAAGCCCCGACGCAUAUUUUUCUUUGUUGAAAAUUGAAGAAUUACAAUCUCUUAGGGAUUCGAUCGAAUCGAGAUACGUUCCAAGCAUGGAAACGAUUCAAAGUCUGUGCGAAAAAACAUUGAAAGUGAAUAAAUUGGAGGAGAGAAAAAUUGGACGAGGAGCAAAGAAAAAUAUUCGAGUGCUUGCGUGAAGAUGGAAAACAUCUCGGGGUACACGGUCGAUGGGUAAGAAAUACGUGGGUGUUUAGUCGAAAAUAGCGAGCGAUGCUUCCAGCUCUUUUCGCCAAUGUACCACGGCCGUAGUAUGUCCGACGUACAGAGAACUAAAUCGGUAUUUUCGAUAGCAAUUCCGAAAAUAGACGAUAUGAACAUACAUCUUGCAUCUAUCUUGAAUAUUUCCACGCUAUAUAGAUAUUAAAAACAUGCAACGACGACGCGAUACCGACCGAAUUUUCACGGUUGUUACGCAACAUUGUUGCUGGUUCUCAUCAUGGAUCGGAUUACCGAUUCUACCUUCGAUUUCGGUUGUCUCGAAUAUUUUUACUUAUAAAUAGAAUACCGCGAAGGAAACGUAACUCUCAAAAUGUAAUCGAAACGAAUACUUUUUUUCCUCUUCCUUGUUCCUUCGUUAAACAUUGUUGAAUAAAUGUAAAUUUUUCCAUCUGUCGUAGUAUAAUUUUCACAACGCUUUCCACGGCCUCUCAAACAACGCUUUGCAAAAGCGUUCCUAUCGCGUUACACGACGAAAAUUAAUCGCGCGUAUAGCGGAGGAAGCGUGACUUCCGGUUUCGACACGGAUCGGGACAAGUGUACCGAGCCGAGAUUCUGAUUAACUAUCGUUGUUUCUCUAGAAAUUCGUAUAGUAUCUGGGUCCGUUUAUUAAAACUCUGUCCAACGUCGCGACACACUACCACACGAGGAUGAAACUUCAAAGCGGAAACACGGCAGAGAAAAUAUUUUUACUAGCUGGCGGAUGGUAAACGUUGCCUCCGUGGCGUUCCAGUAAUCGCUCGAAAUAGAUCUAAUUGCUCCAGAUUCUUGCCUGCUGUCUGUGUCAGAUUAUAUUACACAAUAGAUCGAGUCUGUGUUCGAUCGAAUUAUUAUUGACCAAGGUCUUGGAAAUAUCGAUAACCCAUAUAUAUAUAUA
This is a long non-coding RNA of Apis laboriosa (Himalayan honeybee), 1943 nucleotides long. RefSeq lists it as uncharacterized. The record is from RefSeq and is a predicted model, not a curated record. NCBI's taxonomy places the organism in Eukaryota, Metazoa, Arthropoda, Insecta, Hymenoptera, Apidae. The transcript has 3 exons.